AGAGUUUGAUCAUGGCUCAGAACGAACGCUGSCGGCAGGCCUAACACAUGCAAGUCGAGCGCUAUCUUCGGGGUGAGCGGCGGACGGGUUAGUAACGCGUGGGAAGGUACCCUUUUCUAAGGAAUAGCCUUUGGAAACGAAGAGUAAUACCGUAUACGCCCUUAGGGGGAAAGAUUUAUCGGUAAAGGAUUGGCCCGCGUUAGAUUAGAUAGUUGGUGGGGUAACGGCCUACCAAGUCUACGAUCUAUAGCUGGUUGAGAGGAUGAUC
RNAcentral lists this ribosomal RNA (268 nucleotides) under uncultured Roseovarius sp. RNAcentral's name for it is "partial 16S ribosomal RNA". It matches the Rfam family "Bacterial small subunit ribosomal RNA", at positions 8 to 305 of the family's 1533-position model. Lineage: Bacteria; Pseudomonadati; Pseudomonadota; Alphaproteobacteria; Rhodobacterales; Roseobacteraceae. The record is from RNAcentral.